UCGAUACCCGGUCGUCGUUCGACGACUAGAU
This 31-nucleotide small RNA is filed under the name Bombyx mori (domestic silkworm). Its description in RNAcentral is "ovarian small RNA-7518". Lineage: Eukaryota; Metazoa; Arthropoda; Insecta; Lepidoptera; Bombycidae. The record is from RNAcentral.